UACAGAGGUCUCAAGCGUUGUUCGGAUUCAUUGGGCGUAAAGGGUGUGUAGGUGGCGCGCUAAGUCGGGUGUGAAAUUUCGGAGCUUAACUCCGAAACUGCAUUCGAUACUGGCGUGCUUGAGGACUGGAGAGGAGACUGGAAUUUACGGUGUAGCAGUGAAAUGCGUAGAUAUCGGAAGGAACAUCAGUGGCGAAAGCGACUUCCUGGACCAGUACCGACGUUCAGGCACGAAAGCGUGGGGAGCAAACAGG
This 253-nucleotide ribosomal RNA is filed under the name uncultured bacterium. RNAcentral describes it as "partial 16S ribosomal RNA". It matches the Rfam family "Bacterial small subunit ribosomal RNA", at positions 524 to 776 of the family's 1533-position model. The record is from RNAcentral.